UGAGGAAUAUUGGUCAAUGGGGGCAACCCUGAACCAGCCAAGUCGCGUGAAGGAUGAAGGUCUUAUGGAUUGUAAACUUCUUUUACACGGGAAUAAAGUGGGGGACGUGUCCCCCUUUGCAUGUACCGUGUGAAUAAGGAUCGGCUAACUCCGUGCCAGCAGCCGCGGUAAUACGGAGGAUCCGAGCGUUAUCCGGAUUUAUUGGGUUUAAAGGGUGCGCAGGCGGGAUGUUAAGUCGGCGGUGAAAUUUUGCAGCUCAACUGUAAAAGUGCCUUCGAUACUGGCCUCCUUGAGUGUGGAUGAGNUAGGCGGAAUUUGUGGUGUAGCGGUGAAAUGCUUAGAUAUCACGAGGAACUCCGAUUGCGCAGGCAGCUUACUAAGCCACAACUGACGCUCAUGCACGAAGGCGUGGGGAUCAAACA
This 422-nucleotide ribosomal RNA is filed under the name uncultured bacterium. RNAcentral describes it as "bacterial SSU rRNA". It matches the Rfam family "Bacterial small subunit ribosomal RNA", at positions 355 to 774 of the family's 1533-position model. The record is from RNAcentral.